Molecule: ribosomal RNA, 562 nt
Filed under: uncultured Flaviramulus sp.
Lineage: Bacteria; Pseudomonadati; Bacteroidota; Flavobacteriia; Flavobacteriales; Flavobacteriaceae
Description: bacterial SSU rRNA
Rfam family: Bacterial small subunit ribosomal RNA
Source: RNAcentral
ACUACGAUAGGUAGGGGCCCUGAGAGGGGGAUCCCCCACACUGGUACUGAGACACGGACCAGACUCCUACGGGAGGCAGCAGUGAGGAAUAUUGGACAAUGGAGGCAACUCUGAUCCAGCCAUGCCGCGUGCAGGAAGACUGCCCUAUGGGUUGUAAACUGCUUUUAUACAGGAAGAAACACUCCCUCGUGAGGGAGCUUGACGGUACUGUAAGAAUAAGGAUCGGCUAACUCCGUGCCAGCAGCCGCGGUAAUACGGAGGAUCCAAGCGUUAUCCGGAAUCAUUGGGUUUAAAGGGUCCGUAGGUGGAUAAUUAAGUCAGAGGUGAAAGUUUGCAGCUCAACUGUAAAAUUGCCUUUGAUACUGGUUAUCUUGAGUUAUUGUGAAGUAGUUAGAAUAUGUAGUGUAGCGGUGAAAUGCAUAGAUAUUACAUAGAAUACCAAUUGCGAAGGCAGAUUACUAACAAUAUACUGACACUGAUGGACGAAAGCGUGGGUAGCGAACAGGAUUAGAUACCCUGGUAGUCCACGCCGUAAACGAUGGAUACUAGCUGUUGGGCUUCG